GCGUGAGUGAAGAAGGCCUUAGGGUUGUAAAGCUCUUUCACCGGUGAAGAUAAUGACUGUAGCCGGAGAAGAAGCCCCGGCUAACUUCGUGCCAGCAGCCGCGGUAAUACGAAGGGGGCUAGCGUUGUUCGGAAUUACUGGGCGUAAAGCGCGCGUAGGCGGAUACUUAAGUCAGGGGUGAAAUCCCGAGGCUCAACCUCGGAACUGCCUUUGAUACUGGGUAUCUUGAGUUCGAGAGAGGUAAGUGGAAUUCCGAGUGUAGAGGUGAAAUUCGU
Molecule: ribosomal RNA, 275 nt
Filed under: uncultured bacterium
Lineage: Bacteria
Description: partial 16S ribosomal RNA
Rfam family: Bacterial small subunit ribosomal RNA
Source: RNAcentral